AUAAAUCCUAAGAAGAGGGAUAGUAAUCAGGUGCUAAGUUUAAGAGAGCUGAAGAUGGUGUGAUUUCAGUACUAAUGCUAAUGAUGAAUGGGCCUUUGAGGAGCAAUAUGAAAUCUUUUAGAGAGUAGUUGAGCCGUAAGUCGCACGUUAUAGCGAAUGAGAUAUGUUAGUAUCAAAAAGAGAGGCAUUUUUAUUUAUGCAAUUUAGGUGGCAACGCGGAUAAUAUCCGUCCUAUAU
Molecule: non-coding RNA, 237 nt
Organism: Clostridium botulinum B
Lineage: Bacteria; Bacillati; Bacillota; Clostridia; Eubacteriales; Clostridiaceae
Source: Rfam